CCUACGGGGGGCAGCAGUGGGGAAUUUUGGACAAUGGGGGCAACCCUGAUCCAGCCAUUCCGCGUGAGUGAAGAAGGCCUUCGGGUUGUAAAGCUCUUUCGGCAGGAACGAAAAGGCUCUCUCUAACAUAGGGGGUCAAUGACGGUACCUGAAGAAGAAGCACCGGCUAACUACGUGCCAGCAGCCGCGGUAAUACGUAGGGUGCGAGCGUUAAUCGGAAUUACUGGGCGUAAAGCGUGCGCAGGCGGCUUUGUAAGACAGAUGUGAAAUCCCCGGGCUUAACCUGGGAACUGCGUUUGUGACUGCAAGGCUUGAGUGCGGCAGAGGGGGGUGGAAUUCCACGUGUAGCAGUGAAAUGCGUAGAGAUGUGGAGGAACACCGAUGGCGAAGGCAGCCCCCUGGGUCGACACUGACGCUCAUGCACGAAAGCGUGGGUAGCAAACAGGAUUAGAUACCCUGGUAGUC
This 465-nucleotide ribosomal RNA is filed under the name uncultured Rhodocyclaceae bacterium. RNAcentral describes it as "bacterial SSU rRNA". It matches the Rfam family "Bacterial small subunit ribosomal RNA", at positions 338 to 795 of the family's 1533-position model. The record is from RNAcentral. Lineage: Bacteria; Pseudomonadati; Pseudomonadota; Betaproteobacteria; Rhodocyclales; Rhodocyclaceae.